GUGUAGCGGUGAAAAUGGUAAGAAAUUCNGAGGAAUCCCGGUGGCGGAAGCGGCUCCUUGGACGAAGACUGCCGUUCAGGUGCGAAAGCGUGGGAGAGCAACAAGAAUUAGAUACCCUGUUAGUCCACGCGUAAACGAUGUCGACUUGGAGGUUGUGCCCUCGAGGCGUGGCUUCCGGAGCUAACGCGUUAAGUCGACGCCUGGGGAGUACGGCCGCAAGGUUAAACUCCAAAUGAAUUGCCGGGGCCCGCACAAGCGGUGGAGCAUGUGGUUUAAUUCGAUGCAACGCGAAGAAACCUUUACCUGGUCUUGACAUCCACAGAACUUUCCAGAGAUGGAUUGGUGCCUUCGGGAACUGUGAGACAGGUGCUGCAUGGCUGUCGUCAGCUCGUGUUGUGAAAUGUUGGGUUAAGUCCCGCAACGAGCGCAACCCUUAUCUUUUGUUGCCAGCGGUCCGGCCGGGAACUCAAAGGAGACUGCCAGUGAUAAACUGGAGGAAGGUGGGGANGACGUCAAGUCAUCAUGGCCCUUACGACCAGGGCUACACACGUGCUACAAUGGCGCAUACAAAGAGAAGCGACCUCGCGAGAGCAAGCGGACCUCAUAAAGUGCGUCGUAGUCCGGAUUGGAGUCUGCAACUCGACUCCAUGAAGUCGGAAUCGCUAGUAAUCGUGGAUCAGAAUGCCACGGUGAAUACGUUCCCAGGCCUUGUACACACCGCCCGUCACACCAUGGGAGUGGGUUGCAAAAGAAGUAGGUAGCUUAACCUUCGGGAGGGCGCUUACCACUUUGUGAUUCAUGACUGGGGUGAAGUUGUAACAAGGUAACCGUAGGGGAACCUGCGGCUGGAUCACCUCCUU
Molecule: ribosomal RNA, 860 nt
Filed under: uncultured bacterium
Lineage: Bacteria
Description: bacterial SSU rRNA
Rfam family: Bacterial small subunit ribosomal RNA
Source: RNAcentral